GACGAACGCUGGCGGCGUGCUUAACACAUGCAAGUCGAACGGAAAGGCCCUGCUUGCAGGGUACUCGAGUGGCGAACGGGUGAGUAACACGUGGGUGAUCUGCCCUGCACUUCGGGAUAAGCUUGGGAAACUGGGUCUAAUACCGGAUAGGACCGCACUUUAGUGUGUGUGGUGGAAAGUUUUUUCGGUGUAGGAUGAGCUCGCGGCCUAUCAGCUUGUUGGUGGGGUAAUGGCCUACCAAGGCGGCGACGGGUAGCCGGCCUGAGAGGGUGUACGGCCACAUUGGGACUGAGAUACGGCCCAGACUCCUACGGGAGGCAGCAGUGGGGAAUAUUGCACAAUGGGCGCAAGCCUGAUGCAGCGACGCCGCGUGGGGGAUGAAGGCCUUCGGGUUGUAAACUCCUUUCGCUAGGGACGAAGCUUUUUGUGACGGUACCUAGAUAAGAAGCACCGGCUAACUACGU
Molecule: ribosomal RNA, 464 nt
Filed under: uncultured bacterium
Lineage: Bacteria
Description: partial 16S ribosomal RNA
Rfam family: Bacterial small subunit ribosomal RNA
Source: RNAcentral